AGGACUAGAGUCUGUUUGCUUGAUCUCAAAAAUUUCUAUCUGCUUUUGGUGAGAAAUUGAUCUUUCAUAGGAAGAUAAUGAAGCAUGAUUGAUCGAAUUUUCUCUCAUAGUUUCAAACAAAGUAUAGGCUUCAUCCUCACUCUUACUCAUGAAUGCACCUCCAUAAGAUGCAUCUACCAUCUGUCGGUAAUUGGUCACCUAAAUCC
This 206-nucleotide long non-coding RNA is filed under the name Elaeis guineensis (African oil palm). RNAcentral describes it as "long non-coding RNA (EGUI_LNC041964)". Lineage: Eukaryota; Viridiplantae; Streptophyta; Magnoliopsida; Arecales; Arecaceae. The record is from RNAcentral.